RNAcentral lists this ribosomal RNA (390 nucleotides) under uncultured bacterium. RNAcentral describes it as "bacterial SSU rRNA". It matches the Rfam family "Bacterial small subunit ribosomal RNA", at positions 29 to 417 of the family's 1533-position model. The record is from RNAcentral.
AUUGAACGCUGGCGGCAUGCCUUACACAUGCAAGUCGAACGGCAGCACGGGGGCAACCCUGGUGGCGAGUGGCGAACGGGUGAGUAAUACAUCGGAACGUGCCCAGUAGUGGGGGAUAGCCCGGCGAAAGCCGGAUUAAUACCGCAUACGACCUACGGGUGAAAGCGGGGGAUCGCAAGACCUCGCGCUAUCGGAGCGGCCGAUGUCAGAUUAGGUUGUUGGUGGGGUAAAAGCCCACCAAGCCGACGAUCUGUAGCUGGUCUGAGAGGACGACCAGCCACACUGGGACUGAGACACGGCCCAGACUCCUACGGGAGGCAGCAGGUGGGGAAUUUUUGGACAAGUGGGCGCAAGCCUGAUCCAGCCAUGCCGCGUGCGGGAAGAAGGCCU